Molecule: ribosomal RNA, 444 nt
Filed under: uncultured prokaryote
Description: bacterial SSU rRNA
Rfam family: Bacterial small subunit ribosomal RNA
Source: RNAcentral
CCUAGGGAGGCAGCAGUGAGGAAUUUUGCGCAAUGGCCGCAAGGCUGACGCAGCAACGCCGCGUGGGUGAAGAAGGCCUUCGGGUCGUAAAGCCCUGUCAGGUGGGAAGAACACCAUGGGGACGAACAAGCUUCCUGGCUGACGGUACCACCAGAGGAAGCACCGGCUAACUCCGUGCCAGCAGCCGCGGUAAUACGGCGGGUGCGAGCGUUAUUCGGACUUCAUGGGCGUAACGCGCGUGCAGGCGGUUUGGCAAGUCUGAUGUGAAAGCCCCGGGCUUAACCUGGGAAGUGCAUUGGAAACUGCCGGACUUGAGUACUGGAGAGUAAGGGGGAAUUCCCGGUGUAGAGGUGAAAUUCGUAGAGAUCGGGAGGAAUACCAGUGGCGAAGGCGCCCUUCUGGACGGUUACUGACGCUGAGACGCGAAAGCGUGGGGAGCAAACA